Molecule: ribosomal RNA, 248 nt
Filed under: uncultured bacterium
Lineage: Bacteria
Description: partial 16S ribosomal RNA
Rfam family: Bacterial small subunit ribosomal RNA
Source: RNAcentral
UACGAAGGGGCUAGCGUUGCUCGGAAUCACUGGGCGUAAAGCGCACGUAGGCGGAUUGCUAAGUCAGGGGUGAAAUCCUGGAGCUCAACUCCAGAACUGCCUUGAUACUGGGAUCUCGAGUCCGGGAGAGGUGAGUGGAACUGCGAGUGUAGAGGUGAAAUUCGUAGAUAUUCGCAAGAACACCAGUGGCGAAGGCGGCUCACUGGCCCGGUACUGACGCUGAGGUGCGAAAGCGUGGGAGCAACAGG